UUUCAACUGUUACCUACACUGAAAAAAAUAUUUGUAAAAUUACAUGAUUAUGCUGGGUUUUUUCCGACCCAGCAUAAUCAUGCAAUAUUACUACCCACAUGGAAAAUUGCAGACUUUUUUCUGUAAUUUUGCAUGAAAAUUCAAGUGAUUUUUACACAAAAAUAGUAAUUUCACCUAUAUUUUACCAUUAAUAUGUAUUUUCACUUCAAGAAAUCUGGAAAAAAAAUUACAGUUAUAAUUAGGUAAUUUUCCGGAUUUGAACAAGUAAUUUUCAUGUAAAAGUACAUGAAUUUUUUUCAGUGUACCCCAUAAUAUGAGACUUUCCUCUACUAAUAUAUUUUAUUAAUACUGUUUAUUUUACGUAAAAUCUAUCGAAAGAGAGUGUGUUGUUUUAAUCUUUAUUAUCUACAUGAGAUUACUGUCGUCUGGCCCUUUCUCUUUCCGUUCCAAUGUCAUCUCUGUUGC
Molecule: long non-coding RNA, 465 nt
Organism: Vollenhovia emeryi
Lineage: Eukaryota; Metazoa; Arthropoda; Insecta; Hymenoptera; Formicidae
Exons: 3
Source: RefSeq, a predicted model, not a curated record